Molecule: non-coding RNA, 113 nt
Organism: Chelonoidis abingdonii (Abingdon island giant tortoise)
Lineage: Eukaryota; Metazoa; Chordata; Testudines; Testudinidae
Source: RefSeq, a predicted model, not a curated record
AAGACAAUGAAAAACAUUCGAAAAAAUUUCCAAGGCCAUGAUGGAGAAAGGCACACACCAAGGACUCAGUGCAGUGCAGAGUGAAAGUGAAGGACUUAGACAAGCCUACCAGA